RNAcentral lists this transfer RNA (65 nucleotides) under Pachyhynobius shangchengensis (Shangcheng stout salamander). RNAcentral describes it as "tRNA-Cys". Lineage: Eukaryota; Metazoa; Chordata; Amphibia; Caudata; Hynobiidae. The record is from RNAcentral.
AGUCUUGUGGUGUACAGCACAUAAAAUUGCAAAUUUUAAAGCGAAAUUAAUUUCUUCCAGGGCUU